ACAAACUUGGUCAUUUAGAGGAAGUAAAAGUCGUAACAAGGUCUCCGUUGGUGAACCAGCGGAGGGAUCAUUAAAGAGAGUGAGAACUCCCUAAAACCCACUGUUAACAUACCUGUUCGUUGCUUCGGCAGGCAGCCCCAGGGCGGGGCCGUAGCCUGUGAAAAGGCGUCUGCCGAAGGUAUAUUUAACUCUGUUGCAAACCUGUCAUCUGAGUAUUAUCAUUAAUAAGUAAAAACUUUCAACAACGGAUCUCUUGGCUCUCGCAUCGAUGAAGAACGCAGC
This 282-nucleotide unclassified non-coding RNA is filed under the name uncultured fungus. RNAcentral describes it as "partial contains small subunit ribosomal RNA, internal transcribed spacer 1, and 5.8S ribosomal RNA". The stretch from base 1 to 73 matches the Rfam family "Eukaryotic small subunit ribosomal RNA", at positions 1759 to 1831 of the family's 1831-position model. Lineage: Eukaryota; Fungi. The record is from RNAcentral.